Molecule: non-coding RNA, 83 nt
Organism: Trichonephila clavipes
Lineage: Eukaryota; Metazoa; Arthropoda; Arachnida; Araneae; Nephilidae
Source: the annotation of a GenBank genome assembly
GCCAACUCUUUGAAAAAUAGCUCAGUUGGGAGAGCGUUAGACUGAAGAUCUAAAGGUCCCUGGUUCAAUCCCGGGUUUCGGCA